GAAAUAUGUUACCAAGAUUAAGCUUCUAACUUAAAUCUUAAGCGAUAAAAUUCGUUUAUAUUUCU
Molecule: transfer RNA, 65 nt
Filed under: Rhadinosa nigrocyanea
Lineage: Eukaryota; Metazoa; Arthropoda; Insecta; Coleoptera; Chrysomelidae
Description: tRNA-Ser
Source: RNAcentral